GGGGUCAUGGCUCAGUGGUAGAGCACUUGACUUAUUCGCAUGAGACCCUGGGUUCAAUCCUCAGCACCA
RNAcentral lists this transfer RNA (69 nucleotides) under Ictidomys tridecemlineatus (thirteen-lined ground squirrel). RNAcentral's name for it is "Spermophilus tridecemlineatus (thirteen-lined ground squirrel) tRNA". It matches the Rfam family "tRNA". From Rfam's summary of the family: Transfer RNA (tRNA) molecules are approximately 80 nucleotides in length. Their secondary structure includes four short double-helical elements and three loops (D, anti-codon, and T loops). The record is from Rfam by way of RNAcentral. Lineage: Eukaryota; Metazoa; Chordata; Mammalia; Rodentia; Sciuridae.